Molecule: ribosomal RNA, 305 nt
Filed under: uncultured bacterium
Lineage: Bacteria
Description: bacterial SSU rRNA
Rfam family: Bacterial small subunit ribosomal RNA
Source: RNAcentral
GUGGCCUACGGGGGGCAGCAGUGGGGAAUAUUGCACAAUGGGGGAAACCCUGAUGCAGCGACGCCGCGUGAGCGAUGAAGUAUCUCGGUAUGUAAAGCUCUAUCAGCAGGGAAGAAAGUGACAGUACCUGACUAAGAAGCCCCGGCUAACUACGUGCCAGCAGCCGCGGUAAUACGUAGGGGGCAAGCGUUAUCCGGAUUUACUGGGUGUAAAGGGAGCGUAGACGGCUGCGCAAGUCUGAAGUGAAAGCCCGGGGCUCAACCCCGGGACUGCUUUGGAAACUGUGUAGCUAGAGUGCUGGAGAG